UUCAUUUUUAACAUAAAACAGAAGAGAUCCAAUACAAGAAGAAGACAUGAUCCAUGAACUUGUGUGACUUUCAUGACUUUAACCAAACCAAUCAGAGGUUAACAAUGGUGGGCUUAAAGUCAACUAUAAUAACCUUUUCCAAGCUAGGAAGAAACAAAUUUGCAAACUCAACAUGUGCAGGAUGAGCCCCAUACUCUGCAAUGGCUUCCACACUAUCAAAGGUUGAUUCAAACACAUGAGUAAAACCUUGGUGCAGGUUUUCAGCACUUACAUCCGUGCCCCUAUAAUACAUAUACGAGGAUUGUUAAUUUCAUAGAUCUAGAUCUUAGAAUUCUACAAUUUUGGUUGAUUGGAAAGAGAUCCAGAUUCUGCAAAUCGAAAAGGAAAACAGGGUUGAAUGAAAUAGUGAGUAGGUACCAGUGGAAUGACUUCAUGACUGGGAUGAGAUUGACGAGAUUGGCAUAGCCCUUGAUGAGUUCGUCGAUUCGCUGUUGAGUGAUGUCGUCCUUGAACUUUCCGAGGAGUAUGUGUAUCACUAUUCCAUUUGCUUCUGCCAUUUCUUUUCUUCCUUUUCGUUUCCCACUUGCUAAACUAUAGUCUCUCCGAAAUAAUACUUUAAUAAUGCUGCACCGUAGCUGUACACAUAUGUUCAAUCAAAAUACUUUAAGAUAUUAAAUCAUAUAAAUAAUUUAAAAUUUACACGGACUUGAUCGAGAAACAUGAAUGUCGUUGGUUGUCAGUGUAAAAAUAAUUUUCAGUCAAAGUUGAUCAUCCUUUUUUUUUUAAAAUAAAUAUCACUUUAAUAAAAUAAAUUGUUUUAAAAUAGAUCUCAUUUUUUCACUUUUCACUUUAAUAAAGGAAAGAAAGCCUCAAUCAGAACCAGCUAAGUGUCUGACUUUAUUUGUCAUGGUUCCCCACUAUUGUGUCUAACAAAUGAAGGCUAUCUUUAUUUAACAUUAAUCUAACCAAAGAUUUUAAUGGCUUCAUCUUAGUGAAGAUGCAAUUGUUUACAAUUCCUUUAUUGAAUAAAUUUGAAACCUGAAAGUAGAGGCUUUGCCAUGAACGUCGAAAGCUAAAAACAUGUGUCAAGAACAACUAGUAAAACUAAUGAGCUUUAUAUAAUCAAGCUUGCUAUUAAGAAACCAAAUGUGAUUUUAGGACAAGUAUGCUUGAGAGCCAUUGCCAAGAAACUAAUGAGGUUUGGAUCAGAAAAGGAUGAAGACAUUUAUAUGUCCAAUGACAGUACGAGUAAUGAUGAUCUAAAGAUACAAAAUAAACAAACUGCAAAGACAUGAAGGAAGAAUAAAAGAUACAAAAUCAUUUCCUGAUGAUGAGUCUAUAUACAAUCUAUACGUGACAAUUUCAAGUGUCCCCUCCAGAAGGAGAUUUCAUGUCCUGAUCAUUUGAAGUACUAGUUGUUGCUGAUGUCGGAUUUCUUAUGUUUCCAUCUCCCACUGAUGGAGUUGUUGGCAAAAUUUCAGACGUACAAGCUUCUUCUUUGAUGGAGCUGUUGGGAUCAAUGUUGGCCCCAAUCAUCUGAUCAACCAAAACAUAAAGAUUGUUACUAACUUUUAACACCACUGGUUGAGAUUUAUGCAGUCUCGCGUGAAUUUCCAUCAAUCAAUAAUCGAAAUAGGAUAUGCUUACUUGAAGAGGGACGGCUGCUAUGGGAUUUUUUUCAUCAUUUCGAGCAAUCUCUGCAAUUCUUGCACCUGUUUUCUUAGCAGUGUUUGUGUUGAAUAAGGCCGCAGUAAUCUAAUUGAACAAAAAGAUGAAGAUUGUUACUCGCUUAAAUAAAAACGAAUGAGUGCAGCCAUUUUGAAUAUGAUCUGCUUACUUUAACAUGCCUGGCCACUAUGAGAGAAUUGACAGAAGCAUUUGCAAACGGUUUUCCCUUAUCAUCUAUGCAUGUAACCAUACAUGUUGCCUUUGCACGACAGUGACGACCAGCACCAUCAACCAGACUUUUUAUCGACAUUAAAUGUAUCUCAAAUUCUCCCUACAUGCAUAUAGGAAAUUCGAAUAAACGGCACACACACACACACACAACACAAAUCAAAAGAUAUGAUUUAACCUUGAUGUGGAUGGGACCGUCUGGAGUAAGACUCACAAUGUCUGAUACAGAACCCGAUGCAGAAAGUAUGAUAACAGUUUUACGACGAUUUUCCACAGAUAUAUUGUAUAGAACCUCUACCACAUCCUGCAAAUCAUAUGUUCAGUAAAUGUAAUACAAAAUUGCAUCUGAAAUGUUAACAUUAGUCAGUUCAUGUAAUACCUGGCGAGCAUUCAACUCAAUCACAUGAGAAGGUCAUUUUGGUUUAUACACAUACCUGAUGCGAUGCUAGAAGUAAAAUAGAUGAUAUUACUAGGGUAUCAUCCCACAAAUGCAUACAAGUAGUACAAUCCAAGAACUAAAUUGUAGAAAAACAUUAGAGGAAAUAAAUGUUCAUUUUUAACAUAAAACAGAAGAGAUCCAAUACAAGAAGAAGACAUGAUCCAUGAACUUGUGUGACUUUCAUGACUUUAACCAAACCAAUCAGAGGUUAACAAUGGUGGGCUUAAAGUCAACUAUAAUAACCUUUUCCAAGCUAGGAAGAAACAAAUUUGCAAACUCAACAUGUGCAGGAUGAGCCCCAUACUCUGCAAUGGCUUCCACACUAUCAAAGGUUGAUUCAAACACAUGAGUAAAACCUUGGUGCAGGUUUUCAGCACUUACAUCCGUGCCCCUAUAAUACAUAUACGAGGAUUGUUAAUUUCAUAGAUCUAGAUCUUAGAAUUCUACAAUUUUGGUUGAUUGGAAAGAGAUCCAGAUUCUGCAAAUCGAAAAGGAAAACAGGGUUGAAUGAAAUAGUGAGUAG
Molecule: long non-coding RNA, 2858 nt
Filed under: Lathyrus oleraceus (garden pea)
Lineage: Eukaryota; Viridiplantae; Streptophyta; Magnoliopsida; Fabales; Fabaceae
Description: Pisum sativum (pea) long non-coding RNA (PSAT_LNC022484)
Source: RNAcentral